CUGUAGUCCAUGCAUCGUAGCCAUCAAGUGAUAAAUACAGCAUAUAUACCCUGUACCAAAUAGUUGUAAAGAUUCUACAUAAUUAUUUUGAUGUCAAAUGACAUGUCAGAAGGGUCUAAACAAAGUAUAAUUAUAUAUGAACAAAACCUACUUAAAAUCUAUACCCUGCAUGCAUAUGGUUCAGUGUUUAUUGUUUGUUACACAAACAUAGCUUCUUCCAUGUUUUCCGAACAUUAAUGUACAGGUAGAGAAGUACAAGUGGAUAAGACAAGGUAUGCACCAUAUCCAAAAUAAAGUACUCGUAUUUUGACAUGAUAUUAGCCCAGUUUCCAUAAAAAUUUUCCACACCAGCCUGCUUUAAAAUCAAAGCACUGAGAGUGGUCAAAAAGAAGCUUAGUAUGCCAUUGCACACUAGAAGAACUGCCAUCAGCACAGAUCUAACUAUGAAACUCCUCUUGAAUAUUCGAAAAGCCUCUAUCGAAGUUAGUAUCGUAAUGACAAACGCAGGUGUCAUUGUAAGCACUAUAAAACAAAUUACUGCAAUAAAAAGUUCUGUAACAAUAUUUUGUCCUUCUGGAGAUUCAUUUUUAUAGCAGAAUAUAUGACAAUGUACUGGAUAUCUUGCCAAGCCAUUUGUGAGAAUAUGUACAACUGUCCAGAAAAAAGCUACAAGAGCUGUUAUUGCUGUGAAGAAGCAACUAUGUUUGUAACCAAUUCGCUUCCCUUUCAUUGUGAGAAGCUGCACGACACUCAGGCAGGUCACAGCUACAAUUGAGUACACUGUGAAGAAUACUCUUGGUGCUUGCAAUGGAACUAUCGUCCAUCUUGUACAAUGACAGUAACGAAUGGACGCAGACACCGAUCAAAAGGGAUCCAAAGAGAACUAGCAGUGGCUUGUGCUUGACCUUGCUUUUGAUUAAAGCAACCAAUACUGACACAUUCAUGAAUAUUGUAGUAGGUAGAAGUACUCCGAUAAAAAGAAACAGGUUAACUGUAGUUAGUGGUAUCCAUAAAGGGAACUCAAUAGCAUCGGUUGCAUUCAUAGUAUUUGAAGAAUAUGAACUUUAUGAAGUCUCUAUAAUUAUACCGA
This is a long non-coding RNA of Halichondria panicea, 1090 nucleotides long. RefSeq lists it as uncharacterized. The record is from RefSeq and is a predicted model, not a curated record. The transcript has 3 exons. Lineage: Eukaryota; Metazoa; Porifera; Demospongiae; Suberitida; Halichondriidae.